AAGACUAUAGACCUGCGGAGUACCUGCGGAAGGAUCAUUAACAAAUCCAAACACUUGUCCUCCUUUAUGAUUAACUUGGACGCAGCUGCUUCGGUGGCUAGUGGCCUCGGUGGUCAUAAUGGUUAAAGACACACACAACACUUACAGUUACCAAUUUGACAACUAAUGGGAACCAAAUUGAUUAAAUGAUCAUACAACUUUCAACAACGGAUCUCU
This 216-nucleotide unclassified non-coding RNA is filed under the name soil metagenome. RNAcentral describes it as "partial contains 5.8S ribosomal RNA, internal transcribed spacer 2, and large subunit ribosomal RNA". The record is from RNAcentral.